This 253-nucleotide ribosomal RNA is filed under the name uncultured bacterium. RNAcentral describes it as "partial 16S ribosomal RNA". It matches the Rfam family "Bacterial small subunit ribosomal RNA", at positions 524 to 776 of the family's 1533-position model. The record is from RNAcentral.
UACGGAGGGUGCAAGCGUUGUCCGGAAUCACUGGGCGUAAAGGGCGCGUAGGCGGCUCGGUAAGUAGGGGGUGAAAUCCUGCGGCUCAACCGCAGGGCUGCCUUCUAAACUGUCGAGCUCGAGCACGGUAGAGGCAGAUGGAAUUCCCGGUGUAGCGGUGGAAUGCGUAGAGAUCGGGAAGAACAUCAGUGGCGAAGGCGGCCCGCUGGGCAGUGGCUGACGCUGAGGCGCGACAGCGUGGGGAGCAAACAGG